Long non-coding RNA from Oreochromis aureus, 341 nucleotides. RefSeq lists it as uncharacterized. The transcript is spliced from 3 exons. The record is from RefSeq and is a predicted model, not a curated record. NCBI's taxonomy places the organism in Eukaryota, Metazoa, Chordata, Actinopteri, Cichliformes, Cichlidae.
GUACGGACACCCGAACGGCUGCUAGCAUCACCGCCUAGGUUAGCUGCUAACGAAAGAGCUAGCCAUCCAGCCAGCUGGUCGGCUCACUGUGUGUGAGUCAUGUCGUGGAGCUGGUGGAGGCUCUGACCGUCAGGUAACCUGGUAACCCACCGAUCUGCUGAUGUCACUGCUCUCCAUAAUGAAGUGUGAGUGUAUCCAGCCGCCUUUGUCAAUAAGCAGGAGGGUAAAUUCACAGGAGAUAAGCCGGACAAUGAAGGCCACGGCUGGUUUAAGGAAAGUGUAGAGAGACAGUGAAGGGGAAUGACACAGAGGAAGCAGCCCGGUAGACACUCAAACCCAGG